This 429-nucleotide ribosomal RNA is filed under the name uncultured prokaryote. Its description in RNAcentral is "bacterial SSU rRNA". It matches the Rfam family "Bacterial small subunit ribosomal RNA", at positions 355 to 796 of the family's 1533-position model. The record is from RNAcentral.
UGGGGAAUCUUGCGCAAUGGGCGAAAGCCUGACGCAGCGACGCCGCGUGCGGGAAGAAGGCCUUCGGGUUGUAAACCGCUUUCAGGAGGGAAGAAGCGCAAGUGACGGUACCUCCAGAAGAAGCCCCGGCCAACUACGUGCCAGCAGCCGCGGUAAUACGUAGGGGGCGAGCGUUGUCCGGAAUUAUUGGGCGUAAAGAGCGUGUAGGCGGCUUGGUAAGUCUGCUGUGAAACCUUGGGGCUCAACCCCAAGCGUGCAGUGGAUACUGUCAAGCUAGAGGAUGGUAGAGGCCAGUGGAAUUCCCAGUGUAGCGGUGAAAUGCGCAGAUAUUGGGAGGAACACCAGUAGCGAAGGCGGCUGGCUGGGCCAUUCCUGACGCUGAGACGCGAAAGCUAGGGGAGCGAACAGGAUUAGAUACCCCGGUAGUCC